RNAcentral lists this unclassified non-coding RNA (968 nucleotides) under Hevea brasiliensis (rubber tree). Lineage: Eukaryota; Viridiplantae; Streptophyta; Magnoliopsida; Malpighiales; Euphorbiaceae. The record is from RNAcentral.
AAAUAAUAAUUUUUCUUUUUUUUUUUAAUUUUUACUUAUCUUAAAGAAUGAAGAAAAUGUCAAACAGUUAAAUUAGUAGAUAAAAUCAUCCUAGAAUCCCUUUUUCUCUCACAUGAGCCGUAGAACUUAAUGACUAAUGAACUACCCAUACAUAUAUGAGAGAGAAAAUGACCAAGCGAUGAUUCACUUUCACUAAUAAUUUUCUCAGUAUUAAUGAGUGGCCCCUUGUCCCUGAGGAGGCUGAUCAAUCCAUCACAAUCACCACUGCUUAAAAGUCAUUGGUUUGGAUUGGUGGAUAAGACCAAUACUAUCAUACGGUACAUAACUUUUUCAUCUUCCAGAGGAAUGAUCCUGUAUACCAACAGCACAAAAGAACAGGCAAGAAAGUUGAUAACUGAAAUUUUCUUCCACAAGAAAAUGGUUCAUCUAUCAUAAAUUCCUUGUUUAAUGGGAUCAGAAACACUUACUUGCCAUUAAAGGUAGUGAGUUCUUUUAAGAAUUGAACACCACACAGUAGAGCACAAAAUCUUUACAAGCUACAACACCUUCAUUUCUGACAUUGACUGUUUAAUCCAGAUCUACCUGCACAUGAUAUUUUAUAGCAUGUUCAAUGGCAUGAUAAGCACCCCUACAUCUUGGUCAGCGUACCCAAACUCUUGUCCCAGACGAUGCACGGACACUGAGAGAGACCAAAAUAUGAAAGCAAAUAAAACAUAUUUUGGACUUUUGCUUUUACAGUUUACACUCAAAUUCUGCUUGUCUGAAUUGCUCAUAAAAUAACCAAGAAUCUGUCUUGAGAGGAAAGCUAUACCUACUGAUACAAUACAAUGGUCCGUGCUUCAAAAUGCAAGAAAUGCUCCAAUUUCAGAGAUAUCUUGACUAUCUUGGUUGCAUAUUUUGAGCCUCUUCAUAUAUAGAUUGAAAAAGCACAGUAGGUAUAUACCUCUCACCAAAGCUUGGAAAUAUAA